RNAcentral lists this ribosomal RNA (404 nucleotides) under Fusobacteriota bacterium. Its description in RNAcentral is "Fusobacteria bacterium partial 16S ribosomal RNA". It matches the Rfam family "Bacterial small subunit ribosomal RNA", at positions 355 to 776 of the family's 1533-position model. The record is from RNAcentral. Lineage: Bacteria; Fusobacteriati; Fusobacteriota.
UGGGGAAUAUUGCACAAUGGAGGGAACUCUGAUGCAGCGACGCCGCGUGAACGAAGAAGGCUUUCGAGUCGUAAAGUUCUUUUAUAUGGGAAGAUAAUGACGGUACCAUAAGAAAAAGCCCCGGCUAACUACGUGCCAGCAGCCGCGGUAAUACGUAGGGCGCGAGCGUUGUCCGGAUUUAUUGGGCGUAAAGAGCUCGUAGGUGGUUCGUCGCGUCUGUCGUGAAAGCCAGCAGCUUAACUGUUGGUCUGCGGUGGGUACGGGCGGGCUUGAGUGCGGUAGGGGUGACUGGAAUUCCUGGUGUAGCGGUGGAAUGCGCAGAUAUCAGGAGGAACACCGAUGGCGAAGGCAGGUCACUGGGCCGUUACUGACACUGAGGAGCGAAAGCGUGGGGAGCGAACAGG